RNAcentral lists this ribosomal RNA (446 nucleotides) under uncultured soil bacterium. RNAcentral's name for it is "bacterial SSU rRNA". It matches the Rfam family "Bacterial small subunit ribosomal RNA", at positions 26 to 520 of the family's 1533-position model. The record is from RNAcentral.
AGAACGAACGCUGGCGGCAUGCCUAAUACAUGCAAGUCGAACGAACUCUUCGGAGUUAGUGGCGCACGGGUGCGUAACGCGUGGGAAUCUGCCCCUUGGUUCGGAAUAACAGUUGGAAACGACUGCUAAUACCGGAUGAUGACGAAAGUCCAAAGAUUUAUCGCCAAGGGAUGAGCCCGCGUAGGAUUAGCUAGUUGGUGAGGUAAAGGCUCACCAAGGCAACGAUCCUUAGCUGGUCUGAGAGGAUGAUCAGCCACACUGGGACUGAGACACGGCCCAGACUCCUACGGGAGGCAGCAGUAGGGAAUAUUGGACAAUGGGCGAAAGCCUGAUCCAGCAAUGCCGCGUGAGUGAUGAAGCCUUAGGUUGUAAAGCUCUUUACCCGAGAUGAUAAUGACAGUAUCGGAGAAUAAGCCCCGGACUAACUCCGUGCCAGCACGCCGCGU